UUCAGAAUCACCAGACGGUGCUUUCCUCGUAAGGCCAGCAGAAAAGUCUCAAUUGCUCUUUCCGGCGCACUACUCCGAGGGACACAUGAAACAAUGAAAUUAACUGUUUUCGGGAGGACCUCUACAAGUUUUAGCUUGUUGUGAUCCUUCUUUCCCACACCAUAGGUCUUGGUGGCCUUGCCCCUCUUAGCGGGGAGGAGAAUCCACCGCGGUGGCAGUUUCAACAAAUAUACCUUUGUUGGUAGGGGUUGAUGAUCGCUCUCCCUCCGCCUUUGCUGAAACCAUGGCAGAUUUAGUAGCCCCGUCCUCCCAUUUAGGGGCAGGUGGUUAUUCUACCACCAUUCCUCGAUGGUCGUGAUGCCCUCCAUCAUAAAAGUAAUGGUUUUAGCAUCAAUAAUUGAGGCUUCUUCGUGAAUGGGAAUUGAAGUGCCUUGAGAAGCCAAUAGAAUUUAUGGUAUGAAAGCAAGGGAAACGAGAAAUGAAGAAGUUGGAAGAGACAACAAUGGAGUUGCAAAAGAAAUUUCAGAGAAGAUGUUUGAGCAGAAGGUAGAGAAGACAGAGAAAAGGAUCGGGCUUAUAGAAAAAUUAUCAUGAACUUGGUAACUGUUCUGGUGUCAGAACCCAUUGAAGAUCGCCACCUGCCCGAAGCUUUAAACGGAAGUGACUGGAUGUCUUUAGAUUCAAAAACAGGGAGGAUUGUGUGAAAAAUCCCGUCCAAAAACCUUUAUAGAAUACACCAAUGAUCAUGUCAUAUUUCGAAUAGGGAGAAGCGUCUAAAAUGCCCUUCAACUUUCAUCAUAGGUUUAAAAUUGCCCUCCGUCAAUCUAUUGAGCAAAAUAUGUCUUUCGGUUAAAGUUUUCGGCUCAACAAUAGCCUUUGUUAAUU
RNAcentral lists this long non-coding RNA (885 nucleotides) under Nicotiana benthamiana. Its description in RNAcentral is "long non-coding RNA (NBEN_LNC017836)". The record is from RNAcentral. Lineage: Eukaryota; Viridiplantae; Streptophyta; Magnoliopsida; Solanales; Solanaceae.